This 81-nucleotide transfer RNA is filed under the name bacterium. Its description in RNAcentral is "tRNA-Leu". It matches the Rfam family "tRNA". Rfam says of the family: Transfer RNA (tRNA) molecules are approximately 80 nucleotides in length. Their secondary structure includes four short double-helical elements and three loops (D, anti-codon, and T loops). Further hydrogen bonds mediate the characteristic L-shaped molecular structure. tRNAs have two regions of fundamental functional importance: the anti-codon, which is responsible for specific mRNA codon recognition, and the 3' end, to which the tRNAs corresponding amino acid is attached (by aminoacyl-tRNA synthetases). tRNAs cope with the degeneracy of the genetic code in two manners: having more than one tRNA (with a specific anti-codon) for a particular amino acid; and 'wobble' base-pairing, i.e. permitting non-standard base-pairing at the 3rd anti-codon position. The record is from RNAcentral.
GCUUGGAUUCCCGAGCGGUCAAAGGGGUCGGUCUUAAGCACCGAUGCUUCGGCUUCGUGGGUUCGAAUCCCACUUCAAGCA